This 439-nucleotide ribosomal RNA is filed under the name uncultured bacterium. RNAcentral describes it as "partial 16S ribosomal RNA". It matches the Rfam family "Bacterial small subunit ribosomal RNA", at positions 339 to 795 of the family's 1533-position model. The record is from RNAcentral.
CUACGGGAGGCUGCAGUGAGGAAUAUUGCACAAUGGGGGGAACCCUGAUGCAGCAACGCCGCGUGGAGGAUGACGCAUUUCGGUGUGUAAACUCCUUUUAUAUGUCAAGAAAAUGAUGGUAGCAUAUGAAUAAGCACCGGCUAACUCCGUGCCAGCAGCCGCGGUAAUACGGAGGGUGCAAGCGUUACUCGGAAUCACUGGGCGUAAAGGACGCGUAGGCGGGUUGGAAAGUCAGGUGUGAAAUCCUACAGCUUAACUGUAGAACUGCACUUGAAACUUCUAAUCUAGAGUAUGGGAGGGGGAGAUGGAAUUAGUGGUGUAGGGGUAAAAUCCGUAGAUAUCACUAGGAAUACCUAAAGCGAAGGCGAUCUCCUGGAACAUUACUGACGCUAAGGCGUGGAAGCGUGGGGAGCAAACAGGAUUAGAUACCCUCGUAGUC